GUUCGACUAAGCCAUGCGAGUCGAAUGUAGCAAUACAUGGCGAACUGCUCAGUAACACGUGGACAACCUGCCCUUAGGUUGGGUAUAAACCCGGGAAACUGGGUAUAAUACCCGAUAGGUCUCGAUUGCUGGAAUGCAUCGAGAUUUAAAGCUCCGGCGCCUAAGGAUGGGUCUGCGGCCUAUCAGGUAGUAGUGGGUGUAGCGUACCUACUAGCCUACGACGGGUACGGGUUGUGAGAGCAAGAGCCCGGAGAUGGAUUCUGAGACACGAAUCCAGGCCCUACGGGGUGCAGCAGGCGCGAAAACUUUACAAUGCUGGCAACAGCGAUAAGGGAACCUCGAGUGCCAGGUUACAAAUCUGGCUGUCGAGAUGCCUAAAAAGCAUUUCAUAGCAAGGGCCGGGCAAGACCGGUGCCAGCCGCCGCGGUAACACCGGCGGCUCGAGUGGUAACCGUUAUUAUUGGGUCUAAAGGGUCUGUAGCCGGCCGGAUAAGUCUCUUGAGAAAUCUGGCAGCUUAACUGUCAGGCUUUCAGGAGAUACUGUCUGGCUCGAGGCCGGGAGAGGUGAGAGGUACUUCAGGGGUAGGGGUGAAAUCUUGUAAUCCUUGAAGGACCACCAGUGGCGAAGGCGUCUCACCAGAACGGACCUGACGGCAAGGGACGAAAGCUAGGGGCACGAACCGGAUUAG
RNAcentral lists this ribosomal RNA (689 nucleotides) under uncultured Methanosaeta sp. RNAcentral's name for it is "bacterial SSU rRNA". It matches the Rfam family "Archaeal small subunit ribosomal RNA", at positions 38 to 732 of the family's 1478-position model. The record is from RNAcentral. Lineage: Archaea; Methanobacteriati; Methanobacteriota; Methanomicrobia; Methanotrichales; Methanotrichaceae.